CUGCAGGCUGCGGCUUCAUGUCCUCUUUACGGUCGAACUCACUGCAUCACUGCGGUCCUACAGAAUUUGAACCCAGAGAAUCUGAGUCAGAUGGACCGAUGGAGAUUCCUGGUGUCAGAACUGAUUUCUAUCUGCUACAGAAUCUCUGCCGUGGUGUCUCCUGUGGUCCAAAGCACGUCCCCAGAGGGACUCAUCCCCAUGGAUGCUGACUCAGACACAUCAUCAAGUCUGCAGAAGAUUCUGCAGGAGAUCCAACCCAGAGACACAAACAACUUCUUCAGCAAUGUCAGAGAGCUGAACACGCAUCAAGGAGGUGAUCGCAGUCCGAUCCAGACCCCAAAUAGUCCGGUCCAGACCCCACAGCCUGC
This is a long non-coding RNA of Nematolebias whitei (Rio pearlfish), 368 nucleotides long. RefSeq lists it as uncharacterized. NCBI's taxonomy places the organism in Eukaryota, Metazoa, Chordata, Actinopteri, Cyprinodontiformes, Rivulidae. The record is from RefSeq and is a predicted model, not a curated record. The transcript has 3 exons.